CGAGUUGUAAUUUGUAGAAGAUGCUUUGGGUGCGGCCCCGGUCUAAGUUCCUUGGAACAGGACGUCAUAGAGGGUGAGAAUCCCGUAUGUGAUCGGUGGCUUGCGCCCGUGUAAAGCUCUUUCGACGAGUCGGGUUGUUUGGGAAUGCAGCUCUAAAUGGGUGGUAAAUUUCAUCUAAAGCUAAAUACUGGCCAGAGACCGAUAGCGCACAAGUAGAGUGAUCGAAAGAUGAAAAGCACUUUGGAAAGAGAGUUAAACAGUACGUGAAAUUGUUGAAAGGGAAGCGCUUGCAACCAGACUUGCGCGGGGCUGAUCAUCCGGGGUUCUCCCCGGUGCACUCGGCCUCGCUCAGGCCAGCAUCGGUUUCGGUGGCUGGAUAAAGGCCUUGGGAAUGUGGCUCCUCUCGGGGAGUGUUAUAGCCCUCGGUGCAAUGCAGCCUACCGGGACCGAGGACCGCGCUUCGGCUAGGAUGCUGGCGUAAUGGUUGUAAGCGACCCGUCUUGAAACACGGACCAAGGAGUCUAACAUCUAUGCGAGUGUUUGGGUGUCAAACCCAUACGCGUAAUGAAAGUGAACGGAGGUGAGAACCCUUAAGGGUGCAUCAUCGACCGAUCCUGAUGUCUUCGGAUGGAUUUGAGUAAGAGCAUAGCUGUUGGGACCCGAAAGAUGGUGAACUAUGCCUGAAUAGGGUGAAGCCAGAGGAAACUCUGGUGGAGGCUCGCAGCGGUUCUGACGUGCAAAUCGAUCGUCAAAU
Molecule: ribosomal RNA, 754 nt
Filed under: Pezicula diversispora
Lineage: Eukaryota; Fungi; Ascomycota; Leotiomycetes; Helotiales; Dermateaceae
Description: eukaryotic LSU rRNA
Rfam family: Eukaryotic large subunit ribosomal RNA
Source: RNAcentral